This 436-nucleotide ribosomal RNA is filed under the name Orthorhogas sp. BCLDQ01579. RNAcentral describes it as "partial 28S ribosomal RNA". The record is from RNAcentral. Lineage: Eukaryota; Metazoa; Arthropoda; Insecta; Hymenoptera; Braconidae.
CCUGAGAAACCCAAAAGAUCGAAUGGGGAGAUUCAUCGUCAGCUCAUUUUGUAUAUAUAUAAGUUAUGAUGCGGGUUACUACUUGUAGUAUUGCUUGCACAUUCUUAUAUAUUUAGUUGCAAGAUGUUGUCGGCGUGCACUUCUCCCCUAGUAGGACGUCGCGACCCGUUGGGUGUCGGUCUACGGCCCAAGUGGUAGUCUUUGAUAUUUUAUUAUAUUAAAGUCCCUUGGUGUUUUCUGACCGGCUACUCGGCGGUACACGUACGGUAUUAAGCCGCAAUUAUAUGCGUCUAUUCCCGUCGCAAGCGAGGCCAAUUUCUGAUAGUACGGACCUAGUGCCGUCGUUGGUAUUGGCCAGCUGUUGGUUGUUACGGUGUUCUAAGACUGGCUUAUAAUAAUUACCGGUCGGCGAUGCUACUGCUUUGGGUACUUUCAG